GUUGAAAUACCGGUUUCCAUACAAUCACCAAAGUUAAGCAAUUUUCAGUCUGGUCAGUACCUAAAUGGGUGACUGCUUGGGAAUACCUGGUGCU
Molecule: non-coding RNA, 94 nt
Organism: Acanthosepion pharaonis
Lineage: Eukaryota; Metazoa; Mollusca; Cephalopoda; Sepiida; Sepiidae
Source: the annotation of a GenBank genome assembly